GAGUGAACGCUGGCGGUAGGCCUAACACAUGCAAGUCGAACGGCAGCACAGUAAGAGCUUGCUCUUACGGGUGGCGAGUGGCGGACGGGUGAGGAAUACAUCGGAAUCUACUUUUUCGUGGGGGAUAACGUAGGGAAACUUACGCUAAUACCGCAUACGACCUACGGGUGAACGCAGGGGAUCUUCGGACCUUGCGCGAUUGAAUGAGCCGAUGUCGGAUUAGCUAGUUGGCGGGGUAAAGGCCCACCAAGGCGACGAUCCGUAGCUGGUCUGAGAGGAUGAUCAGCCACACUGGAACUGAGACACGGUCCAGACUCCUACGGGAGGCAGCAGUGGGGAAUAUUGGACAAUGGGCGCAAGCCUGAUCCAGCCAUACCGCGUGGGUGAAGAAGGCCUUCGGGUUGUAAAGCCCUUUUGUUGGGAAAGAAAAGCAGCAGGUUAAUACCCCGCUGUUCUGACGGUACCCAAAGAAUAAGCACCGGCUAACUUCGUG
RNAcentral lists this ribosomal RNA (493 nucleotides) under uncultured bacterium. Its description in RNAcentral is "partial 16S ribosomal RNA". It matches the Rfam family "Bacterial small subunit ribosomal RNA", at positions 27 to 507 of the family's 1533-position model. The record is from RNAcentral.